UAGGGAAUCUUCGGCAAUGGACGAAAGUCUGACCGAGCAACGCCGCGUGAGUGAAGAAGGUUUUCGGAUCGUAAAACUCUGUUGUUAGAGAAGAACAAGGACGUUAGUAACUGAACGUCCCCUGACGGUAUCUAACCAGCAAGCCACGGCUAACUACGUGCCAGCAGCCGCGGUAAGACGUAGGUGGCAAGCGUUGUCCGGAUUUAUUGGGCGUAAAGCGAGCGCAGGCGGUUUCUUAAGUCUGAUGUGAAAGACCCCGGCUCAACCGGGGAGGGUCAUUGGAAACUGGGAGACUUGAGUGCAGAAGAGGAGAGUGGAAUUCCAUGUGUAGCGGUGAAAUGCGUAGAUAUAUGGAGGAACACCAGUGGCGAAGGCGGCUCGCUGGUCUGUAACUGACGCUGAGGCUCGAAAGCGUGGGGAGCAAACAGG
This 429-nucleotide ribosomal RNA is filed under the name Gemmatimonadota bacterium. RNAcentral describes it as "Gemmatimonadetes bacterium partial 16S ribosomal RNA". It matches the Rfam family "Bacterial small subunit ribosomal RNA", at positions 355 to 776 of the family's 1533-position model. The record is from RNAcentral. Lineage: Bacteria; Pseudomonadati; Gemmatimonadota.